CCCUUAGAUGUCCGGGGCUGCACGCGCGCUAUACUGUAGAAAGCAGCGUGCUUUAAAACCUUUCCUGAAAAGGAUGGGUAACCCCAGCAAAAUUCUACGUGCUUGGGAUAGAGAUUUGCAAUUUUCUCUCUUGAACGAGGAAUUCCCAGUAAGUGCGAGUCAUCAGCUCGCGUUGAUUACGUCCCUGCCCUUUGUACACACCGCCCGUCGCUACUACCGAUUGGGAAAAUUUUAGAGAGUCCUGGACUGAUGAUUGUUCGGCUUCACGGCCUUACUUUCGUCGGGAAAGAAUUCGAUAAUAUUUUUCUAGAGGAAGUAAAAGUCGUAACA
This 330-nucleotide ribosomal RNA is filed under the name uncultured eukaryote. RNAcentral's name for it is "partial 18S ribosomal RNA". It matches the Rfam family "Eukaryotic small subunit ribosomal RNA", at positions 1470 to 1796 of the family's 1831-position model. The record is from RNAcentral.